RNAcentral lists this ribosomal RNA (468 nucleotides) under uncultured bacterium. RNAcentral describes it as "partial 16S ribosomal RNA". It matches the Rfam family "Bacterial small subunit ribosomal RNA", at positions 28 to 507 of the family's 1533-position model. The record is from RNAcentral.
GACGAACGCUGGCGGCGUGCUUAACACAUGCAAGUCGAACGGAAAGGCCCUGCGUUUGUGGGGUGCUCGAUUGGCGAACGGGUGAGUAACACGUGAGUAUCCUGCCCUUGACUUUGGGGGAACUUCACGAAACUGGGGCUAAUAUCGGAUAGGAGCUCCUGCAGCAUGGUGGGGGUUGGAAAGUUUCGGCGGUUGGGGAUGGACUCGCGGCUUAUGAGCUUGUUGGUGGGGUAGUGGCUUACCAAGGCUUUGACUGAUAGCCGGCAUGAGAGGGUGACCGGCCACAUGAGGCCUACGGGACGGAGCAGUGUGGAACAGGAGGCAACAGGGGGAAGUCUUGCACAAUGAGCGGAAGCGUGAGGAAGAAGCCCCGGGUGCGGAAUGACGGCUUUUUGGUUGAAAACAGCUUUCGCCUGAGACGAAGCGGGAGUGACGGUAAUGAGUAAAGAAGCACCGGCUAACUACGUG